AGACGGGGGGGGCGAGCGUUGUUCGGAAUUACUGGGCGUAAAGGGCGCGCAGGCGGCUUGGGAAGUCUUGGGUGAAAGCCCCCAGCUCAACUGGGGAACGGCCUGAGAAACCACUAGGCUGGAGUGCUGGAGAGGGAAGCGGAAUUCCCGGUGGAGCGGUGAAAUGCGUAGAUAUCGGGAGGAACACCAGAGGCGAAGGCGGCUUCCUGGACAGACACUGACGCUGAGGCGCGAAAGCUAGGGGAGCAAACGGGAUUAGAAACCCCGGUAGUCC
Molecule: ribosomal RNA, 274 nt
Filed under: uncultured bacterium
Lineage: Bacteria
Description: partial 16S ribosomal RNA
Rfam family: Bacterial small subunit ribosomal RNA
Source: RNAcentral